This is a non-coding RNA of Salmo salar (Atlantic salmon), 73 nucleotides long. The record is from Rfam. Lineage: Eukaryota; Metazoa; Chordata; Actinopteri; Salmoniformes; Salmonidae.
CUCCCUGUAGCUCAGUUGGUAGAGCAUGGUGUUUGCAACGCCAGGGUUGUGGGUUCGGUUCCCACGGGGGGGC